CUUUGUGAAUUCUGCCCCUGUGGGAAUCUCUGUGAUCUGCCUUAGUGGGAAUUCUGUGGGAAUCUGUGUAAUCUAUGCCUGUGGGAAUCUUUGUGAAUUCUGCCCCUGUGGGAAUCUAUGAUAUCUGNCCCUUUGGGAAUCUCUGUGAUCUGCCCCUGUGSAAACCUGUGUGAUCANNCCCUGUGGGGACCUGUGUGAUCUGCCACUGUGGGAAUUUUUAGUGAUCUGCCUUAGUGGGAAUUAUGUGGGAAUCUGUGUGAUCUGCRCCUGUGGGAAUCUUUGUGAAUUCUGCCCCUGUGGGAAUCUGUGUGAUCUKCGUCUGUGGGAAUCUGUGUGAUCUGCGCCUGUGGGAAUCUUUGUGAAUUCUGCCCCUGUGGGAAUCUNCGUGAUCUSNGUCUGUGGGAAUCUGUGUGAUCUGCGCCUGUGGGAAUCUUUGUGAAUUCUGCCCCUGUGGGAAUCUGUGUGAUCUGCCCCUGUGGGAAUCUUUGUGAUCUGAGCCUGUGGGAAUCUGUGUGAUCUGCGCCUGUUGGAAUCUUUGU
RNAcentral lists this small RNA (539 nucleotides) under Spisula solidissima (Atlantic surf clam). RNAcentral's name for it is "cnRNA75/177". Lineage: Eukaryota; Metazoa; Mollusca; Bivalvia; Venerida; Mactridae. The record is from RNAcentral.